This 427-nucleotide ribosomal RNA is filed under the name uncultured bacterium. RNAcentral's name for it is "bacterial SSU rRNA". It matches the Rfam family "Bacterial small subunit ribosomal RNA", at positions 355 to 774 of the family's 1533-position model. The record is from RNAcentral.
UGGGGAAUUUUGGACAAUGGGCGAAAGCCUGAUCCAGCAAUGCCGCGUGUGCGAAGAAGGCCUUCGGGUUGUAAAGCACUUUUGUCCGGAAAGAAAUCCGUCUGGCUAAUACCCGGAUGGGAUGACGGUACCGGAAGAAUAAGCACCGGCUAACUACGUGCCAGCAGCCGCGGUAAUACGUAGGGUGCGAGCGUUAAUCGGAAUUACUGGGCGUAAAGCGUGCGCAGGCGGUUUUGUAAGACAGAUGUGAAAUCCCCGGGCCUAACCUGGGAACUGCGUUUGUGACUGCAAAGCUGGAGUACGGCAGAGGGGGGUGGAAUUCCACGUGUAGCAGUGAAAUGCGUAGAGAUGUGGAGGAACACCGAUGGCGAAGGCAGCCCCCUGGGCCUGUACUGACGCUCAUGCACGAAAGCGUGGGGAGCAAACA